CUCCUCGCCGCUGCCGCUGCUGCCCAUGGCCGGGACACGCUGGGUGCUGGGCGCGCUGUUGCGGGGCUGCGGCUGUAGCUGCAGCAGCUGCCGGCGGACGGGGGCGGCCUGCCUCCCGCUGCGCCCCGUCGCCGCUGCAGCCGCCGCCGCCGCAGUGUCCGGGCGCCGCCGGCUCCUGCUGCUGCUGGGGGCGUCCGCGGCGGCGCAGAGCCGCGGCCUGCAAGUGGCGGCGGCUGCCGGGAGCCUGCGCCGCCCGCCCGGGCCCGGCUUCGCCCUGCGCGGCCCGCUGCUGCCCCCGGCGCUCGCGGGGGCUCGCGGCUACAGCAGCGAGGAUAAAAACUCUCAGUUUGAAGGUGAAUAUCCUGUGCUCGCUGAAUAUGAAUCAGAUUCACCAAAGGCCGGAGAAGAGGAGGACCUGUUUCUCAUUCGAGCCCAAGGACUGCCAUACUCUUGUACUGUGGAAGAUGUGGUUGACUUUUUUGCUGGCUGCCAAAUUCGAAACGGUGAGAGCGGCAUACACUUCCUUUUGAACAGCAGUGGCAGACGCAGGGGGGAUGCUGUGAUUGAACUAGAGUCGGAAGAGGAUGUGCAGAAAGCCUUAGAAAAGCAUCACAGCUAUAUGGGUCAGCGAUAUGUGGAAGUUUUUGAAAUACGUGAUGAAGAUGUAGAUGCUGUAUUGAAGAGACUGCUGUCCGUUCCACCUUCUGUUAAAGAUGGAGUUGUACGUCUCCGAGGCCUUCCAUACAGUUGCACUGAAGUAGACAUUGAAGAGUUUUUUGCAGGUUUGAGUAUUGCUGAUAUAACAUUUGUUAUGGACCCAAGAGGAAAAAGAAAAACUGGAGAAGCCUUUGUGCAGUUUACUGCUCCAGAAAUGGCAAAGCAAGCCCUGUUAAAGCAUAAGGAGGAAAUUGGGCAUCGGUACAUUGAAAUAUUUCCCAGCAACAGGAGUGAAAUUCAAACCCAUAGUGGCUCUCCCUGGAGGAAGAAGAUGACCUCUUAUCCAGUCACUAAAUGGACAAAAGAAUCUGAAUUGGUCUUUGAAGAAAAUGAAUUGGGGAAGACUCAAAGACCACACACAACCUCUGAAAGUGAGGGAGAGAAUGAACCUUACAGAGGAGUAAGUGAAAAGCCUGAGGAUGCUUUGGAAAGUGGGAAUUCCUAUUCGUCACUGCAUUAUGUUCAUCUGAGAGGCCUGCCAUUCCAGGCUAGUGCCCAAGACAUUAUAAACUUUCUUGCUCCUCUGAAACCUGUAAAGAUUACCAUGGAAUAUAAUUCCAGCGGGAAGGCUACAGGAGAAGCAGAUGUUCACUUUAAGAGCCAUGGCGAUGCGGUUGCUGCUAUGGUCAAGGACAGGUCACACAUGCAGCAUAGAUAUAUUGAAUUGUUCCUGAAUUCAUAUCCAAACAAAAAUGCCCAGUGACAGUGGCACAACCCCAUGGUAGCAUUACUGCUAGCAACUGGGACCCUCCACCCUCACAAAGGGCUCCUCCAUUUCCCUAGGCAGCUUGCUUAAGAAAUGUGCUCCCUGCCUGAAGAGCUGUUGUGAGCAACCAUGUGAACAGGACUUCCAUCAAACCUUUCAGAAAAAACACAAGGUGUGCUGCUGGUUUAUGAAGUAAUAUUUACAGCCUGUCCAGCAACAGACAGAAAACAAAAUAACUGAGUAUAACCAACACUGGCUUCAUUUGCAAGUUCCUCACAGAGGACCAGAAUCCUGAUGUGGGACACUGAACCCACCCCACUAAUCCAAAGGGACCAGAACACAACUGAAAGAUAUCCCAACUGAGCUAGAAUUGAACAGAAUUCAUUAUUGUCUCCACCUGCUGGAGAGGAGAAACCCUACACUACCACCUGGAUUGGCAUGGCAGAAACUGGAAGUGCAAACAUUACUGUACAGACUUAUUUAAAAUGUAUUGAUGAAAUAAAAGCAUAACCCCAGCCACAUAA
Alligator mississippiensis (American alligator) is the source of this 1947-nucleotide RNA transcript. It is a transcript of the gene named G-rich RNA sequence binding factor 1, with no coding region annotated. The record is from RefSeq and is a predicted model, not a curated record. Lineage: Eukaryota; Metazoa; Chordata; Crocodylia; Alligatoridae. The transcript is spliced from 11 exons.